GUGCUCACUUUGGCAGCACAUAUACUCAAAUUGGAAUGAUACAGAGAUUAGCGUGGCCUCUGUGCAGGGAUGGCGUGCAAAUUCAUGAAGUGUUCCAUAUUUUA
Molecule: small nuclear RNA, 104 nt
Organism: Chlorocebus sabaeus (green monkey)
Lineage: Eukaryota; Metazoa; Chordata; Mammalia; Primates; Cercopithecidae
Source: Ensembl